CCUACGGGGGGCUGUAGUGGGGAAUAUUGCGCAAUGGGCGAAAGCCUGACGCAGCGACGCCGCGUGGGUGAUGAAGGCCUUCGGGUUGUAAAGCCCUGUCGGGUGGAACGAACGAUCUGGCGGCGAAUAACCGCCGGGUGUGACGGUACCACCGAAGGAAGCCCCGGCUAACUACGUGCCAGCAGCCGCGGUAAGACGUAGGGGGCAAGCGGUAUUCGGAAGUAUUGGGCGUAAAGGGUGCGUAGGCGGUGUAAUCCCCGAGCUCAACUUGGGAACUGCAUCUGAGACUGGAAGGCUAGAGUACUGGAGAGGGUGGUGGAAUUCCUCGUGUAGCGGUGAAAUGCGUAGAGAUGAGGAGGAACACCAGUGGCGAAGGCGGCCACCUGGACAGUAACUGACGCUGAGGCGCGAAAGUGUGGGUAGCAAACAGGAUUAGAUACCCUUGUAGUC
This 450-nucleotide ribosomal RNA is filed under the name uncultured bacterium. RNAcentral describes it as "partial 16S ribosomal RNA". It matches the Rfam family "Bacterial small subunit ribosomal RNA", at positions 338 to 795 of the family's 1533-position model. The record is from RNAcentral.